UUUCCUAAGGGUGGCACAGCCAUCAGCCUGCUGGAAGGCUUUCAGUCCCACCAUUGGGUGCUGUUCCUCAGCAGCUGGGAAGGAGGAAGAGUGGCCCUUCGUGCUCACUGUAACACCUGCUUCAACCACAACAUGCUGCAGCAGUUGAGGACAAGGUCUGAGGUUUUCCAAAGAUGUUUAAUGCUCCACACUGAGAACAGAUAGCCUACCCCUGAGGUAUCAGCACGAGGGAGAAUCACUUCUGUCCCUGCUGCGAGCAGCCGCUUUCUGUCAGCCUCAGUACUACAUCCUCAGCAUGACAUGAACAUGGAAAAAAUGCAGCCUUCAACGAAGUUAACCCUUUGUGUUUCUUGGGGCCUGCAGACCUCAAAGCAGUGUGCCAGUGGAAGUUGCCAGCAUGCUUCAUCCUCACUUAACAGUGGGAGGAAGCUGAUACAGCCCAUCUGUUUCACUUUGGAGGUACAAAGCUUAGGAAGAUGAGAUGCUGAUUUGUCACAUGUAAUUCAACCCUCUGAAUAACAAUGUCGUAAGAGUGUUCCGGUCUUCUUUGUGCAUUUCUCUGACCUCCUUGCCUUUGAUCAAACCAGCCCCUUUCCUUUGGUGCAUCUGUUGAAGACAACAGCUAAUGAGCAGCCUUACAGCAGUGCUUGUACUCUGACCAGCACAUAAUUUGAUUGCCCAAAAGAAAGUAAUGCAGAUUGUUGUUAAAUAUAAAUGUCCCAUAGGAUAAAUAAUCUCCAGUGCAACCAUUUUGCAGUAACAAACACUUUAGGCUUCAGUUUGUUCCUUUUGUCUAAUGCUACUCAGUUUUCUACAUGAAGUGCCUCUUGUGACAUCACUUCUCAGUCCUGUCAAUGGUUCUUGUGCCACUAAAACUACACAGAAUGUGCACAACAGCAACCAAAAAAUAAGCUGUAUUUUUUCCUUGAUCUUGUCUGAGUAGAUUUUGCUUUUUAUGCAAAUACUCUCAGCUGCGGCCAUAGCAUAGAAGCUGCAUUGUGCAAUUGCCACUGUUGAUGGCACAAUCAGUUUUGCUGAGACACUUUCUCUAUAAGUGUCCUGCUGUGAGCAUCUAAAGGAGAUCUUUGACUGUGGACUGCAAAGAUGGUAGAAGCAAAGGCUUGAAAAAACCACACAUAAUGCUGGUUUUGCAUUUUAAGGAAAAAUGGUAAUUCUCUUCCUCCACUGCACAAAGUAACUUUCCA
RNAcentral lists this long non-coding RNA (1205 nucleotides) under Phasianus colchicus (ring-necked pheasant). RNAcentral describes it as "lncRNA (ENSPCLG00000003267.1)". The record is from RNAcentral. Lineage: Eukaryota; Metazoa; Chordata; Aves; Galliformes; Phasianidae.